GUCCUACGGGGGGCAGCAGUGAGGAAUAUUGGUCAAUGGUCGGGAGACUGAACCAGCCAAGCCGCGUGAGGGAUGAAGGUACAGAGUAUCGUAAACCUCUUUUGUCAGGGAACAAAGGCGGGGACGUGUCCCCGGAUGAGAGUACCUGAAGAAAAAGCAUCGGCUAACUCCGUGCCAGCAGCCGCGGUAAUACGGAGGCUGCGAGCGUUAUCCGGAUGUCUUGGGUUUAAAGGGUGCGCAGGAGGUCUGUUAGGGCAGCGGUCAACGCCCGGGGCUGGACCGCGGCCCGCCGUUGGAACUGGCAG
This 305-nucleotide ribosomal RNA is filed under the name uncultured bacterium. Its description in RNAcentral is "bacterial SSU rRNA". It matches the Rfam family "Bacterial small subunit ribosomal RNA", at positions 335 to 639 of the family's 1533-position model. The record is from RNAcentral.